This 255-nucleotide ribosomal RNA is filed under the name uncultured bacterium. RNAcentral's name for it is "partial 16S ribosomal RNA". It matches the Rfam family "Bacterial small subunit ribosomal RNA", at positions 524 to 776 of the family's 1533-position model. The record is from RNAcentral.
UACGGGGGGAGCAAGCGUUGUUCGGAUUUACUGGGCGUAAAGGGCGCGUAGGCGGUCAGCACAAGUCAAUUGUGAAAUCUCCGAGCUUAACUCGGAAAGGUCAACUGAAACUGUGCGACUAGAGUGCGGAAGGGGCAACUGGAAUUCUUGGUGUAGCGGUGAAAUGCGUAGAUAUCAAGAGGAACACCUGCGGCGAAGGCGGGUUGCUGGGCCGACACGUGACGCUGAAGCGCGAAAGCCAGGGGAGCGAACGGG